GAACGCUAUUUUAGGAUUAUUGUUACCACUGACAAUGCCCAAAACAAGAACAACAAAGGCCCAAAGGUGGCUGUUUGGUAGUGCGCAAAGCUGCUGGUGGUGGUGGACGUCUCUGCCCUGACGCGCGGCGUGCGUCUGCUCAGUGUGGAGGUGCCGCUGACAGCGGUGCCGGCCGGACCGGCUGCCUCUCCGGCGGCCGACAUUGAGCGCGGCACGUGUCCGCCGCCGUUCGGGCCGCUGCAGCUGCUGCAGUCGGCGGCGCAGCUGUCCGUCUCCGUGUCGCUGGCCGUGCCGCUGGACCUGCUGCCGCGGCCGGCGCCGGCGCGCUGCGCCUACGGCCGCCUGCUGGCCGUCGUCUCGCAGCGCGGCCUGCAGCGCAGCGGCGUGCUGCAGCUCAUCCAGCAGCUCAACGAGCCGCCCAGCCCGGCGGCGGCCGAGGGCGCCGCGCCGCGCCGGCCCGGCGACGUCAGCACACCUGGCAUCAGCGGCUUCUGCCUGUCCGACCGUCAGCUGCACCUGCUGUUCGCCGAGGGGCGCGCCGACGCCGAGCUGGAACAGACGGCGGCCGCGCCGCGCGCUCUGCCGCGCCGCGACACUCGACUCUGCCACCACUCGGGCCUACUGUUACGCCGUCCGCGCCAUCAGAGAGUGCUUCCGCACGCAGUGGCUGUCGGAAAAUGAACCUGCUUCCCAACGAGGCCGGCCUGCAACAACUGCUGGCCGGCUGUUGGCCGAAAAAAAAACGCCUUCAACCGGAUGUCAGUUGUCAAAUCAACGCGUAUUAAUGCAUUCACUAGGAUGGGCUUACGUAAAGCUGUAGAAUUGCAAAUAUAUAAUGGCACUGUUUUUGA
Molecule: long non-coding RNA, 851 nt
Filed under: Amphibalanus amphitrite
Lineage: Eukaryota; Metazoa; Arthropoda; Thecostraca; Balanomorpha; Balanidae
Description: uncharacterized LOC122381862, transcript variant X3
Source: RNAcentral